Molecule: ribosomal RNA, 219 nt
Filed under: uncultured bacterium
Lineage: Bacteria
Description: partial 16S ribosomal RNA
Rfam family: Bacterial small subunit ribosomal RNA
Source: RNAcentral
GUAAGUCCCAGUUCGGAUUGAAGGCUGAAAUUCGCCUUCAUGAAGCCGGAAUUGCUAGUAAUGGCAGGUCAGCAUACUGCCGUGAAUACGUUCCCGGGCCUUGUACACACCGCCCGUCACACCAUGAGAGUUGGGAAUACCCGAAGCCUGUGAGCUAACUUUUAGAGGCAGCAGUCGAAGGUAGAAUCAAUGAUUGGGGUGAAGUCGUAACAAGGUAAC